CGGCUCUGGGUCUGUGGGGAGC
This 22-nucleotide non-coding RNA is filed under the name Pteropus alecto (black flying fox). Its record names the gene pal-miR-760-3p. Lineage: Eukaryota; Metazoa; Chordata; Mammalia; Chiroptera; Pteropodidae. RNAcentral also lists the same sequence under 6 other names. The record is from miRBase by way of RNAcentral.